UACCUGCAGCUCAAGUGGUGGCCGUUAUUAUUGGGCCUAAAACGUCCGUAGCCGGUUUAUUAAAUGCCUGGGUAAAUCGGGCCGCUUAGCGGUUCGAAUUCCGGGUAGACUGAUAGACUUGGGACCGGGAGGAGCUAGAGGUACUCCUGGGGUAGAGGUGAAAUUCCGUAAUCCUAGGGGGACCACCAGUGGCGAAGGCGUCUAGCUAGAACGGGUCUGACGGUGAGGGACGAAGCCCUGGGGCGCAAACCGGAUUAGAUACCCGGGUAGUCCAGGGUGUAAACGCUGCUUGCUUGAUGUUAGUCGGGCUCCGAGCCCGAUUAGUGUCGGAGAGAAGUUGUUAGGCAAGCUACCUGGGAAGUACGGCCGCAAGACUGAAACUUAAAGGAAUUGGCGGGGAGCACAGCAACGGGUGGAGCGUGCGGUUU
RNAcentral lists this ribosomal RNA (428 nucleotides) under uncultured archaeon. RNAcentral describes it as "bacterial SSU rRNA". It matches the Rfam family "Archaeal small subunit ribosomal RNA", at positions 474 to 903 of the family's 1478-position model. The record is from RNAcentral.